UACUAGCCAUUUUAAACGAUUUACCUC
This 27-nucleotide small RNA is filed under the name Bombyx mori (domestic silkworm). RNAcentral's name for it is "ovarian small RNA-21293". Lineage: Eukaryota; Metazoa; Arthropoda; Insecta; Lepidoptera; Bombycidae. The record is from RNAcentral.